Molecule: transfer RNA, 77 nt
Filed under: Desulfovibrio sp.
Lineage: Bacteria; Pseudomonadati; Thermodesulfobacteriota; Desulfovibrionia; Desulfovibrionales; Desulfovibrionaceae
Description: tRNA-Arg
Rfam family: tRNA
About the family: Transfer RNA (tRNA) molecules are approximately 80 nucleotides in length. Their secondary structure includes four short double-helical elements and three loops (D, anti-codon, and T loops). Further hydrogen bonds mediate the characteristic L-shaped molecular structure. tRNAs have two regions of fundamental functional importance: the anti-codon, which is responsible for specific mRNA codon recognition, and the 3' end, to which the tRNAs corresponding amino acid is attached (by aminoacyl-tRNA synthetases). tRNAs cope with the degeneracy of the genetic code in two manners: having more than one tRNA (with a specific anti-codon) for a particular amino acid; and 'wobble' base-pairing, i.e. permitting non-standard base-pairing at the 3rd anti-codon position.
Source: RNAcentral
GCGCCAGUAGCUCAGUUGGAUAGAGCAUCGGUCUUCUAAACCGACGGUCAAGGGUUCGAUUCCUUUCUGGCGCGCCA